RNAcentral lists this ribosomal RNA (449 nucleotides) under uncultured bacterium. RNAcentral's name for it is "bacterial SSU rRNA". It matches the Rfam family "Bacterial small subunit ribosomal RNA", at positions 28 to 478 of the family's 1533-position model. The record is from RNAcentral.
GAUGAACGCUGGCGGCGUGCUUAACACAUGCAAGUCGAACGGGAAAUAUUUCAUUGAGACUUCGGUGGAUUUGAUCUAUUUCUAGUGGCGGACGGGUGAGUAACGCGUGGGUAACCUGCCUUAUACAGGGGGAUAACAGUCAGAAAUGGCUGCUAAUACCGCAUAAGCGCACAGAGCUGCAUGGCUCAGUGUGAAAAACUCCGGUGGUAUAAGAUGGACCCGCGUUGGAUUAGCUUGUUGGUGAGGUAACGGCCCACCAAGGCGACGAUCCAUAGCCGGCCUGAGAGGGUGAACGGCCACAUUGGGACUGAGACACGGCCCAGACUCCUACGGGAGGCAGCAGUGGGGAAUAUUGCACAAUGGGGGAAACCCUGAUGCAGCGACGCCGCGUGAAGGAAGAAGUAUCUCGGUAUGUAAACUUCUAUCAGCAGGGAAGAUAGUGACGGUAC